UCGUGCUCGUGAUACGCAUACACAUUACCGGAUAGCAUACGCUCAAUGCUAUAUACAUAUAAAAUGAAAUAACUCUUGCAACAAAUAUAUAUACACGGAUUUAACUGGUUGAUGUUGCCGAUCGUAAGAACGAGAUGAUUGAGUACUGGAAAUAAACGUCAGUAUCAAGAAUAUUUGGUAAUGUAGUAUAAGUGCUACAGUUACCAGACAUUUAUCAGCACUUAACAACGACAAUGAUUUUUCUGUUUGUUAUCGUAGCACACGCUUGAAAUAAUUUCCUCAUCGUUGAUCGAUGUAUUAUGUAUAGAAAGUAAUGAAAAAAAUAAGUAGAACAGAUAAAAGGAAGAAGCAAUUCGAUCCACGUUUGUUGCACGAAUGUUACAGCCGAGUUACAAAUUCGAGUUCUUCCACGAUUUCUCGAACUUACGAUCGCUGUGGCGAUCAGCGUUGCCCGAUGGUACACUAUAAUUAAAAAUUACUUAAUAAUAAGCGUCGCAAUAAUAAGAAACGAACGCGUCACGGUGAAUAAAUCCGCCGCGGAUUCGCUAAUCGCCGUUCUCUCUAGAUCGGAGGA
Molecule: long non-coding RNA, 574 nt
Organism: Frieseomelitta varia
Lineage: Eukaryota; Metazoa; Arthropoda; Insecta; Hymenoptera; Apidae
Exons: 3
Source: RefSeq, a predicted model, not a curated record